RNAcentral lists this unclassified non-coding RNA (145 nucleotides) under soil metagenome. Its description in RNAcentral is "partial internal transcribed spacer 1". The record is from RNAcentral.
UAAUAAGUGUUUUAUGGCACUUUUUAAAUCCAUAUCCACCUUGUGUGCAAUGUCAGUCGAUCUUCUUCAUGGAGAUCGACCAAACAUCAACCUUUAUUCUUUAACUCUUUGUCUGAAAAAUAUUAUGAAUAAACAAUUCAAAAUA